UCGAGUCGGUGGGCUCCGCGCCCACCACCCGCCAACCCUUUGUGUACCCUGCCCGUCUCCUUCGGCGCUGCGUGCGCUGGCCCGCUCGCGGGUUAGCGUGCCCCGCCGGCGUUCUAAAAACCUUUUGCUUUUUAAACGGUACAGUCUGAGCAGCAAGCAAAUCAGAUGA
RNAcentral lists this unclassified non-coding RNA (169 nucleotides) under uncultured fungus. RNAcentral's name for it is "sequence contains ITS1". Lineage: Eukaryota; Fungi. The record is from RNAcentral.